GACGAACGCUGGCGGCGUGCUUAACACAUGCAAGUCGAACGGAAAGGCCCUGCUUUUGUGGGGUGCUCGAGUGGCGAACGGGUGAGUAACACGUGAGUAACCUGCCCUUGACUUUGGGAUAACUUCAGGAAACUGGGGCUAAUACCGGAUAGGAGCUCCUGCUGCAUGGUGGGGGUUGGAAAGUUUCGGCGGUUGGGGAUGGACUCGCGGCUUAUCAGCUUGUUGGUGGGGUAGUGGCUUACCAAGGCUUUGACGGGUAGCCGGCCUGAGAGGGUGACCGGCCACAUUGGGACUGAGAUACGGCCAAGACUCCUACGGGAGGCAGCAGUGGGGAAUAUUGCACGAUGGGCGGAAGCCUGAUGCAGCAACGCCGCGUGCGGGAUGACGGCCUUCGGGUUGUAAACCGCUUUCGCCUGUGACGAAGCGUGAGUGACGGUAAUGGGUAAAGAAGCACCGGCUAACUACGUG
Molecule: ribosomal RNA, 468 nt
Filed under: uncultured bacterium
Lineage: Bacteria
Description: partial 16S ribosomal RNA
Rfam family: Bacterial small subunit ribosomal RNA
Source: RNAcentral